GAGGAAGGUGGGGAUGACGUCAAGUCCUCAUGGCCCUUAUGUCCUGGGCUACACACGUGCUACAAUGGCGGUGACAGUGGGAAGCCAGGCAGCGAUGCCGAGCUGAUCCUCAAAAGCCGUCUCAGUUCGGAUUGUACUCUGCAACUCGAGUGCAUGAAGGUGGAAUCGCUAGUAAUCGCGGAUCAGCAUGCCGCGGUGAAUACGUUCCCGGGCCUUGUACACACCGCCCGUCACAUCACGAAAGUGGGUCGUACUAGAAGCGGGUGAGCUAACCUUCGGGAAGCAGCCCUCCAAGGUGUGAUUCAUGAUUGGGGUGAAGUCGUAACAAGGUAGCCGUAA
This 339-nucleotide ribosomal RNA is filed under the name uncultured bacterium. Its description in RNAcentral is "bacterial SSU rRNA". It matches the Rfam family "Bacterial small subunit ribosomal RNA", at positions 1166 to 1505 of the family's 1533-position model. The record is from RNAcentral.